This 92-nucleotide small nucleolar RNA is filed under the name Myotis brandtii (Brandt's bat). RNAcentral describes it as "Small nucleolar RNA SNORD50". The stretch from base 1 to 51 matches the Rfam family "Small nucleolar RNA SNORD50". From Rfam's summary of the family: U50 belongs to the C/D class of snoRNA which contain the C (UGAUGA) and D (CUGA) box motifs. The record is from Rfam by way of RNAcentral. Lineage: Eukaryota; Metazoa; Chordata; Mammalia; Chiroptera; Vespertilionidae.
UAUCUAUUAUGAUCCUAUUCCUAACCUGAAUUUCUGUUGAAAAAUAAGGACAGAGCUGUAUUAACAGAAUUAAAAAUUCUGUUAAUACAGAU